This 500-nucleotide ribosomal RNA is filed under the name uncultured Glomeromycotina. Its description in RNAcentral is "partial small subunit ribosomal RNA". It matches the Rfam family "Eukaryotic small subunit ribosomal RNA", at positions 591 to 1092 of the family's 1831-position model. The record is from RNAcentral. Lineage: Eukaryota; Fungi; Glomeromycota.
CCAAUAGCGUAUAUUAAAGUUGUUGCAGUUAAAAAGCUCGUAGUUGAACUUCAGGCCUGUCCAGACGGUCCGCCUUAAUUGGUGUGUACUGUCCUUGGGUGGGUCCUACCUUCUGGCGAAGCGGCAUGGCCUUAAUUGGUUGUGUCGGGGAACCAGGACUUUUACUGUGAAAAAAUUAGAGUGUUCAAAGCAGGCAAAUAUGCUCGAAUACAUUAGCAUGGAAUAAUGGAAUAGGACGAUGGUUCUAUUUUGUUGGUUCUAGGACCGUUGUAAUGAUUAAUAGGGAUAGUUGGGGGCAUUAGUAUUCAAUUGUAAGAGGUGAAAUUCUUGGAUUUAUUGAAGACUAACUACUGCGAAAGCAUUUGCCAAGGAUGUUUUCAUUAAUCAAGAACGAAAGUUAGGGGAUCGAAGACGAUCAGAUACCGUCGUAGUCUUAACCAUAAACUAUGCCGACUAGGAAUCGGGCGAUGUUGACAAAAUGACUCGCUCGGCACCUCAUG